CUCUCACAUCUUUCUAUUUAAGUAUAAUCGAUUUUUAGGUUUACAUUUACGUAGUAUUUGAUUGGCUUAAGUUAGGGUCAGUGGGCCGGUCAAGUCACGGUCUACCUGUACAAUUAGAAUAUUACCGGUGAGCUUCUUUCCACCUACUUUGCUUCGUCUCACCGACCUUCACUUCUUGUCACCGAGCGUCGAGGUUAAGUUAGCGUAAGACAUUAUCGGAUUAAGUUUGAGGUUAAGACACGAUCGAUCUACACUUUGAAAUAUCCCGGUGAAUUUGCUUCUGUCUUCUUCCCUCUCCUUUCCUUUCCUUUCCUUUCCCAUCCUUUUCCUUCCCUUCCCUUCCCUUCCAUUCCAUUCCAUUCCCUUCCCUUCCCUUCCCUUCCAAUCCAAUCCCUUUCCUUCCCAUCCCCUCCCUUCCCAUAUAUUAUAUCUACUAAAAACACACUCUCUCCCACGUAUAACCGAGCUUAAGUUGAGUUAGUGUAACAUAUAAUUCGAUUAAGUUUAAGGUUUCUUCCGCUUGUGGGCGCCUACAUACUCCGUCAUCUCGUAUAAGUGGGUCAAGAGAGAUAGUUAGUUUGCGUUGCGUGUUAACAAUCAAAAUAGAUGUAUCGUAAAACUUAAGUAUAGCAGUACCCCGAAACGAGUCUGUGCUUCUUCAGCUUUUCUUACUUCUUUUUCUCUUUCUUUCUCUCUUCCUCCUGUUUCCUUCGUCCUACUUUUUCUUCAUCUCCUCUUCUCCCUUCUCCAAUAAUGCCUCUUCUUUCUUCCUCAUCUUCCUUCCUUCUCCACCUCUUCUUGGGUUCCGUGAUUCCACACCGCCAGUCACGCACACCCCAACCAUCGGGGGAAGCCGCGUACGUAAGACUAUACCCUGAGUGCCUUGUAUAUAUAACCCUACCUACCUACCUUCUAGUCAUUAGGGAGUGUCGAUCUAGUCAGGGAUUGCGUAUGUUAGUCAAGGGGAGGUUCUGUUUCCUAGUGAUUCGGUUCCCUGAGUAUUUUCUAGUCAAAGGAAAGCCAGGUCCACCAUUGAGUAUAUUAGUUAAAGGGAGUCAAAGGGAGUCAGUGGGAGAUUCUAACACGUAAUCAUAAACGUAUUAGCACCUAAGUUCGCCUGUUUGAAAAGCCUCUUAUAGUAGUUGCUGUGGUUUUCAUGGACUGUUUUGGGAUCCUGGUGAAUAGGUGUACACGACUCCUGCACCUUGUAUAGAAAAGUCACCCAUGAAAACCCGGUUAAUCUUCUCUGUGGCCUUGGAUAAUAAUCGUAAUGGGUGCCCGAUGCGUUUAAAAAUAUCGUCAUCUUCAUAAAAUAAUCGCCUAAGUCAUUUUUCAGCGAUUUCCGGGUUUUUGUCCACAUCAAUUUUUCAACAUAUGACGCCCAUUUUUUGUAUAGUUGCCUUCGUCAUUCAGGGUUUGAGUGUUCUAGAAUUGGCCUUUUCAUUUCUGCCUAAAUUUUAAGCCAAAUGGGAUGAUAACAGUUCUUUUCUGAUUUCCUGAAUAGUAGAAAAUAAUGACUUAGGCGGUUUGUUUACGAAGGUGACGCUAUGGCCCUCUGUUUCCUAGCGAUUCAGUUCCCUGCUUAUCUUCUAGUCAAAAGGAAAGCCAGGUUCACCAUAUCUUUUAGUCCGUUUUUAUGUCUUUCGUUGCUGAGAACAAUCAAUUUACAAGUUAAGGAAUUAUUUUAGCGUUAUACCGAAGUGUGUCUAGACAAAAUAACUCACAGAAAGAAGGAAAAAAACACUCGUAACGUUACUUUAGUCAUAUCGUUACGUUGUGUCACUGUGAGUUACUCUGUUUAAAGACGAAUUUAGAGUUUAGUGAAAGCCAACUCUAGUCAUGAUAGAUUCUUAAGGAAGUGUAUGCAUCUAGUCAGUCAUAUAUUUAGUUAAGGUUUUGUUUGUAAGGAAGAACAUCUAGUCAUUAAAAUUUACGUAUUCUAGUUGGUUAAGGAUGAAGCGAGCCAUAUACUUUUACGGACUGAACUUAAAUCAUGCGCAAGUUCAAAUCAUUCCCUCGUCUUAAGUUCAUUUUAAGUUCAAGUCAGUUUAAGUUCAAGUCAUUUCCUCGUUUUUAAGUUUAUUCUAAGUUGUUGUAAGUCAAUUCUUUCUAGUCACAGAGAGAAUCUAGUCCUUUUUGAGGGUCUAGUCAGAGUGGGAUCUAGUCAAUCUUUUAGUCUUUAUAUUUAGUCAAGGAAGGAAGAUCUAGUCAUUCCUUCAGUCAUUAUUUUAGUCAAGGGAUUGGUCUCUAGUCAUUCUUUAAAUUAGCAUUUCUAGUCAAUUCUUCAGUCAUAAUAUUUAGUCAAUCCUUUAUUCGUCAUUUCUGGUCAUACCUUUAGUCAUUAUCUCUAGUCAGUUAUCCUUUAGUCAAGAGAAUCUAGUCCUCUAUUUCUAGUCGGAAGGGAAUCGAAUCCUUUUUACUAGUUAUGGAGGAGGAUUGAGUCGUUUAUUCCUAGUCAAGGGAAGGAGGAUUCAGCCAUGGAUUUCUAGUCAAGGGAAGAAUAGUCUAGUCAUUUAAUUUUAGUCAUUAUUUUCUAGUCGUGGAAGAUAAGUCAGUCAUUAAGUUCUAGUCAAGGAUAAUAUAGUCAUGUGUUUCUAAUCAAUCAGUCAUGUCUAGUCAAGAGUCGAGGAUUUAGUCAUUAAUUUCUAGUCAAGGAUAUUAUAGUCAUAUGUUUCUAGUCAAUCAGUCAUUUCUAGUCUAAGAAGGAGGAUUUAGCCAUUAAGUUCUCUCAAGGAUAAUACAGUCAAAUGUUUCAAGUCAGUCAGUCAUUUCUAGUCAAAGGAGGAGGAUUUAGCCAUUAAGUUCUCUCAAGGAUAAUACAGUCAAAUGUUUCAAGUCAGUCAGUCAUUUCUAGUCAAAGGAGGAGGAUUUAGCCAUUACGUUCUAGUCAAGGAUACUAUAUUCAUGUGUUUCUAGUCAAGCCAGUUAUUUCUAGGCAAGGGAGGAGGAUUUAGUCAUUAAUUUCUAGUCAAGGGAGUGUAAGUCAGUCAAGCAUUCCAGUUCUAGUCGUGGAAAGAAGAGUCAGUCAUUCUUUUUCUAGUCACUGUAGGAUUAAUUUAGUCAUUCACUCAUCUCUAGUCACGUGGAGAGGAUCUAGUCACCUUUUCUAGUCACCGGAAAACUAAGAAUUGACUGAUAUAUUUCCACUCAUUUCUAGUCAAGGUUUUAGGAUAAGCUAGUCAUGUAUCAUCUAGUCAAUCAUUGCUAGUCACGGGGAGGAGAAUUUAGUCACCUUUUUUCUAGUCACCGGAAAACUAAGAAUUGACUGAUAUAUUUCAACUCAUUUCUAGUCAAGGUAGGAGGAUAAGCUAGUCAUGUAUCAUCUAGUCAAUCAUUGCUAGUCACGGGGAGGAGGAUUUAGUCACCUUUUUUCUAGUCAACGGAGGACUAAGUAACUGACUAAUUUAUUUGUAGUCAUUAAUAAUCUUUAGUCAGCCAGUUCUAGUCAAUCAUUUAUCUAGUCACUCAUCGCUAGUCACUAAAAAUUACUAUCCUUCAUUAGGUUUAAUUUCUCAUAAUCUAGUCGCUCUAAAUUAUCCACUCAUCAAGUCAAUUACACGAAUCUUCUGGUCACUAGAUAUUAAAACAUGAUAUAACUACUCCUCCUUCCCUCCCUUCCUUCCUCCUCCCCCUCCCCUCCAAAAAAAAAAAAAAAAAAAAAAAAAACAUUCCAGUCAUUCCGAUGGUCAGCGUAAAGCGAUAUCAGUAACUCGUAUCAAUAAAUUAUACCUCCAUUUUUUUCGCUUUAGGAAUAUUAACUUAGCUUCUGAAAUAAUCGUGUUGGUCUCAUAGGUUUUCUAAGUAACUGCGUGUGUGUGUGUGUGUGUGUGUGUGUGUGUGUGUGUGUGUGUGUGUGUGUGUGUGUGUGUGUGUGUGUGUUCGUAUGUAGGUAUGUUCUUAUAAGGGCUGCGUGCAACACUUUAAUAACUAAGAUGUGUAAGUUAGCAUAAUAUAAGUGUGUGUGUGUGUGUGUGUGUGUGUGUGUCUGUGUGUGUGUGUGUGUGUGUGUGUGUGUGUGUGUGUGUGUGUGUGUGUGUGUGUGUGUGUGUGUGUGUGUGUGUGUGUUAUUGGGGCAAGUGUUUCUAAGAAUACUCCACCACCACACGCUGCUAACGAUUUGCUCUCUUUGAAUUAAGUUAAACGGGACAAUCACACAAUCUUCUUUCUAAAAACGGCUGUGUAUUAUUAGGAAUUACGAUUAUGGACAUUACGUUAAGUUGCGAGAAUGAGGUUAAGCUAUAGUGUACUUCUUAAGUGUGUGCGUUUGCGUGUGUGCGUGUGCGUGUGUGUGUUUGCGUGUGUGUGUGUACCCACCCCUCCUCCUCCUAAUCACGCCAAGGCUUCAGGAGGAGGAGGAGGGAGAGGGCUCUUCCUUGGCAGCUUCAUAUUAAGGUCCACUCUUCCCUCCCUGACCUUCCUUCCCUCUCUGUGACCUUCCCUCCUUCCCUAGACCUUACCUACCGACCCACCUGCUCCGCCUCUCCUCCCGCUCCAUCCCUUUCGUUGGCAAUCAGAUUCUCAAAGUCCGAUCCACCUUUUUUAUUCAUUCUCAUCCUGUGCACACUCAAGAAAACUGUACGGCCUUUGAAUUUGUACAGUUAAUUUACAGUAGAGAAAGCAAGGGCAAAGAUAACGGGGCAAAAUAAGUAAGUGAAGAAUGAAGCCCUAAUCACUGAUCCUGUAUGGCAAGUAGAGAUGAGUGGCCAAGAGAGAGGUCAAUUUUGGAUGGAGUAAAUAGCGGAAGGAAGAAGUGCCCCUAGUUAUAUGUUCCUCGAGUGUCCACGGCGUCUCUAAGGACCUGAAGGAGACGCUGAAGGACACGCAGGAGUAGGUUCAGAUCGGUGGGUGUUAAGAGCAUUGACUCGUAUUAUUAUUAAGUUCUACAAGGGACUGUUCCAUUAUGCCAGUAUUAGUGUUACGUCUUAUCCUUGAAACGACUCCCAUGUAUCGUUGUGUUUAGGCUUAAGUUACUAUUUUUAAGUGUGUUUUGUUCUUUUGUUCUUUGGUCUAGAAGCACAUUUAGUGGCGUUUUCUUUCGAGCACUUGUAUGCGUAACUAUGCUAACUUUAUUUUCAUUAUUAUUGUCAUUAUUUUCUGAUGUACAUUUGGUAUACGAUUACUUAAGGUUGUACAAUCCAACUCCUCACAAGAGCUGGAGACAGAUCUGAAACUUGUAAUCCUUUCUCUGGGACUUCUGUGGCAGCUUCUCUUGCUUUCCUCGUCCUGUUAAGAGCUUGAUGAGGGAUGAAAAAGGAUCUCUAAGUCAGCUUCAAUUCUGAUUCUCGUCCUCUUGUAACUUGGUAUAGGAUCUGAGACUUGUAAUCCUUUCUUCGGGACAAUGAUGGCAACUUCUGUUCUGAUUCUCGUCCAGUUACAAGCUAAACGAGAGUCGAAGAAAGAUCUGAGACUUGUAAUCCUUUCUUUGGGAACUCUAUGGUAGAUUCUUUUUUCUGAUUCUCGUUCUGUUGUAAGCCUGACGAGAGCUGGAAAGGGAUCUGACACUUGUAUUUCCUUCUUUGGGACCUCGAUGGUCACUUUUCUUCCCUUCUUGGUCCAACUGUAAACCUGACGACCCUUCCCGGAGCUCUUGUGGUGUGUCUUCAAGGCCCCAUAUUGCAGAACACGACCCCGAAAGCUCCAGGAACGGUCGAGGAUCCUUAAUGAGUUAGUUUCCUGUGUUUGGUCUGUAGCUCUGAAUCCUUCUUUUGUAAUGUUUUGUAUAGCGACCUUCCUUACUGUUAGUCUUGAGUAGCGUUAUCGUGAGUGUAGUCUUAACCUGCUUCACCACUGCUAGUCUCUCCUCAAGGAGUGUUUUUUUGCUACGUUAAACACUUAAGUUUGUAUUCUUGAUCAUCAUAUUUUUUCCAUGUUAAACUUUAGGUCCUCUUGAUUAAGCCUUUUCCAUAUCAAACAAUGUGUAUACGUCCUCUUGAUCGAGCUUUCUAUUUUAUUAAGUUCAACUCUUAGGAUAGGUAACAAUCUUGAUUAAGCAGUUUUCUACGUCAAACUGUACGCCCUCUUGGCCAAGCCUUUCUAUCGUAAACUGUAAGCAUAUAGGUCUUCUGGAUGAAACCUUUUUGCUAUGUUAAACAAGUAGAAUAAGUCCGGUUUCAGUGUAACUUGCAAGGUGACAGUGACUAUACAGACUCAACACCCUUAGCGCCUCGAAUGUCUGGCCGAACUAUAUAAGACCUUGUACCGAGGAGCCGCGUGCUGUGCCCCGCGCCUGGUCGAGGGGCGGGACCUUCACCACUUCGCACAUCAUUUCCGAGGGGUGGCCGCGCCCUUGAUGCCGGUGCGGGGCUGCCGAGACGCUGUACAUAGCUGGCUGUUCUUGUACCAUAUCAUCCGUAUUGUAAAUCUGGUCUGUUAGUGUGUAAGCUUCCCUGUAUUGUCAGACUUUGCCGUGACAGUGUUUAGGUCCUGUUUUUUUUCCAAAUUGUAAUAAAUUAUUUGUGUGAA
Molecule: long non-coding RNA, 6462 nt
Organism: Eriocheir sinensis (Chinese mitten crab)
Lineage: Eukaryota; Metazoa; Arthropoda; Malacostraca; Decapoda; Varunidae
Exons: 2
Source: RefSeq, a predicted model, not a curated record